RNAcentral lists this ribosomal RNA (497 nucleotides) under uncultured bacterium. RNAcentral describes it as "partial 16S ribosomal RNA". It matches the Rfam family "Bacterial small subunit ribosomal RNA", at positions 28 to 507 of the family's 1533-position model. The record is from RNAcentral.
GAUGAACGCUGGCGGCGUGCCUAAUACAUGCAAGUCGAGCGAACGGACGAGAAGCUUGCUUCUCUGAUGUUAGCGGCGGACGGGUGAGUAACACGUGGAUAACCUACCUAUAAGACUGGGAUAAAUUCGGGAAACCGGAGCUAAUACCGGAUAAUAUUUUGAACCGCAUGGUUCAAAAGUGAAAGACGGUCUUGCUGUCACUUAUAGAUGGAUCCGCGCUGCAUUAGCUAGUUGGUAAGGUAACGGCUUACCAAGGCAACGAUGCAUAGCCGACCUGAGAGGGUGAUCGGCCACACUGGAACUAGAACACGGUCCAGACUCCUACGGGAGGCAGCAGUAGGGAAUCUUCCGCAAUGGGCGAAAGCCUGACGGAGCAACGCCGCGUGAGUGAUGAAGGUCUUCGGAUCGUAAAACUCUGUUAUUAGGGAAGAACAUAUGUGUAAGUAACUGUGCACAUCUUGACGGUACCUAAUCAGAAAGCCACGGCUAACUACGUG